This 1393-nucleotide ribosomal RNA is filed under the name uncultured bacterium. RNAcentral's name for it is "bacterial SSU rRNA". It matches the Rfam family "Bacterial small subunit ribosomal RNA". The record is from RNAcentral.
AGAGUUUGAUCCUGGCUCAGGAUGAACGCUGGCGGCGUGCUUAACACAUGCAAGUCGAACGGAACUUGUUAAGCUGAAACUUCGGUCGAUUCUUUUCGAGUUUAGUGGCGGACGGGUGAGUAACGCAUGGGUAACCUGCCUCAUACAGGGGGAUAACAGUUAGAAAUGACUGCUAAUACCGCAUAAGCGCACAGUACCGCAUGGUACAGUGUGAAAAACUCCGGUGGUAUGAGAUGGACCCGCGUCUGAUUAGCUAGUUGGUGAGGUAACGGCCCACCAAGGCGACGAUCAGUAGCCGACCUGAGAGGGUGACCGGCCACAUUGGGACUGAGACACGGCCCAAACUCCUACGGGAGGCAGCAGUGGGGAAUAUUGCACAAUGGGGGAAACCCUGAUGCAGCGACGCCGCGUGAGUGAAGAAGUAUUUCGGUAUGUAAAGCUCUAUCAGCAAGGAAGAAAAUGACGGUACUUGACUAAGAAGCCCCGGCUAACUACGUGCCAGCAGCCGCGGUAAUACGUAGGGGGCAAGCGUUAUCCGGAUUUACUGGGUGUAAAGGGAGCGUAGACGGCGAUGCAAGUCUGAAGUGAAAGCCCGGGGCUCAACCCCGCGGACUGCUUUGGAAACUGUGUUGCUAGAGUGUCGGAGAGGUAAGUGGAAUUCCUAGUGUAGCGGUGAAAUGCGUAGAUAUUAGGAGGAACACCAGUGGCGAAGGCGGCUUACUGGACGAUAACUGACGUUGAGGCUCGAAAGCGUGGGGAGCAAACAGGAUUAGAUACCCUGGUAGUCCACGCCGUAAACGAUGAAUUCUAGGUGUUGGGGAGCAAAGCUUUUUGGGGGCCGCCGCAAACGCAAUAAGUAUUCCACCUGGGGAGUACGUUUCGCAAGAAUGAAACUCAAAGGAAUUGACGGGGACCCGCACAAGCGGUGGAGCAUGUGGUUUAAUUUGAAGCAACGCGAAGAACCUUACCAAGUCUUGACAUCCCCCUGACCGGCACGUAACGGUGCCUUCUCUUCGGAGCAGGGGAGACAGGUGGUGCAUGGUUGUCGUCAGCUCGUGUCGUGAGAUGUUGGGUUAAGUCCCGCAACGAGCGCAACCCUUAUCCUUAGUAGCCAGCAGGUAAAGCUGGGCACUCUGGGGAGACUGCCGGGGAUAACCUGGAGGAAGGUGGGGAUGACGUCAAAUCAUCAUGCCCCUUAUGAUCAGGGCUACACACGUGCUACAAUGGCGUAAACAAAGGGAGGCGAGGCCGCGAUCCGGAGCAAAUCUCAAAAAUAACGUCUCAGUUCGGAUUGUAGUCUGCAACUCGACUACAUGAAGCUGGAAUCGCUAGUAAUCGCGGAUCAGAAUGUUGCGGUGAAUACGUUCCCGGGUCUUGCACUCACCGCCCGUCA